RNAcentral lists this ribosomal RNA (253 nucleotides) under uncultured bacterium. RNAcentral describes it as "partial 16S ribosomal RNA". It matches the Rfam family "Bacterial small subunit ribosomal RNA", at positions 524 to 776 of the family's 1533-position model. The record is from RNAcentral.
GACGAACCGUGCAAACGUUGUUCGGAAUCACUGGGCUUAAAGGGCGCGUAGGCGGGCGGCCAAGUCAGGGGUGAAAUCUUUCGGCUCAACCGGAAAAUUGCCUUUGAAACUGGCUGUCUCGAGGGAGGUAGGGGCAUGUGGAAUUUACGGUGUAGCGGUGAAAUGCGUAGAUAUCGUAAGGAAGACCAGUGGCGAAGGCGGGUCUCUGGACAGUUCCUGACGCUGAGGCACGAAGGCCAGGGGAGCAAACGGG